This 371-nucleotide long non-coding RNA is filed under the name Mytilus galloprovincialis (Mediterranean mussel). The record is from RNAcentral. Lineage: Eukaryota; Metazoa; Mollusca; Bivalvia; Mytilida; Mytilidae.
GCCCGCGUCACACUGUCCCGAUUUUUACGCCGAUGGCAACACGAUAAUGGAAAUUUUCAAAAUCGGGACUGAUCGUAUCCAGAUCGGGCUAUUCGUAGUGCCAUCUUUAACCAUCGUAGAACCAUCGGCCACUUUUUCUAGCCUUCGGGGACAACUUCGGGAAUGGUUCUAAAUUUUUUAACAUGUUAAAAAAUCCCCGAAGUUGCGUCCGAUGUUGAGGGUUCGUAUUGAGUUCGUAUCACCAUCCUCACCAUCGUAAUGUCACCGGGAAUGCAUCUUUGAACAUCGUAUUGCAUUCGUGUUUCCAUCGUUUCCAUCGGGCAGUUUUGACAUUACGAUGUCUACACGAAUGAAUCACGAAGAUACCCGAA